AAAAAGAAGAAAGAAAAAC
Molecule: small RNA, 19 nt
Filed under: Arabidopsis thaliana (thale cress)
Lineage: Eukaryota; Viridiplantae; Streptophyta; Magnoliopsida; Brassicales; Brassicaceae
Description: ATSL214200
Source: RNAcentral